Molecule: ribosomal RNA, 422 nt
Filed under: uncultured bacterium
Lineage: Bacteria
Description: bacterial SSU rRNA
Rfam family: Bacterial small subunit ribosomal RNA
Source: RNAcentral
AUUUGAUCUUGGUUCAGAUUGAAUGCUGACAGCGUGGAUGAGGCAUGCAAGUCGAACGCAACUAUAGGGCAACUUAUAGUUGAGUGGCGGAAGGGUUAGUAAUACAUGAAUAACUUGCCUCUAACCUGGGGAUAACGGCUGGAAACGGCCGCUAAUACCGAAUGUAGUUUUUGGAGGAUACUCCAGGCAAUUAAAGUAGGGGAUCGGGUAACCGACCUUGCGGUUAGAGAGAGGUUCAUGGGAUAUCAGCUAGUUGGUGUGGUAAUGGCGCACCAAGGCUAAGACGUCUAGGCGGAUUGAGAGAUUGACCGCCAACAUUGGGACUGAGAUACUGCCCAGACUCCUACGGGAGGCUGCAGUCGAGGAUCUUUCGCAAUGGGCGCAAGCCUGACGGAGCGACGCUGUGUGAGUGAUGAAGGCCU